UGGGGAAUAUUGCACAAUGGGGGAAACCCUGAUGCAGCAACGCCGCGUGAAGGAUGAAGGUUUUCGGAUUGUAAACUUUUUUGAUGAGGGACGAAUAAUGACGGUACCUCAAAUNCAAGCCACGGCUAAAUACGU
Molecule: ribosomal RNA, 135 nt
Filed under: uncultured bacterium
Lineage: Bacteria
Description: partial 16S rRNA
Rfam family: Bacterial small subunit ribosomal RNA
Source: RNAcentral